This 334-nucleotide unclassified non-coding RNA is filed under the name soil metagenome. RNAcentral's name for it is "partial contains 5.8S ribosomal RNA, internal transcribed spacer 2, and large subunit ribosomal RNA". The stretch from base 1 to 120 matches the Rfam family "5.8S ribosomal RNA", at positions 35 to 154 of the family's 154-position model. The record is from RNAcentral.
GAUGAAGAACGUAGCAAAAUGCGAUAAGUAAUGUGAAUUGCAGAAUUCAGUGAAUCAUCGAAUCUUUGAACGCACAUUGCGCCCGCCAGUAUUCUGGCGAGCAUGCCUGUUCGAGCGUCAUUUCAACCAUCAAGCCCCAGGCUUGUGUUGGAGCCCUGCGGCUGCCGCAGCCUCCCAAAACCAGUGGCGGGCUCGCUAUCACACCGAGUGCAGUAGUUUACUCUUCGCUCAGGGCGUGUGGCGGGUGCUAGCCGUGAAACCCCCAACUUCUCAAGGUUGACCUCGGAUCAGGUAGGAAUACCCGCUGAACUUAAGCAUAUCAAUAAGCGGAGGA